CCUACGGGGGGCUGCAGUGGGGAAUAUUGCACAAUGGGGGAAACCCUGAUGCAGCGACGCCGCGUGAAGGAAGAAGGUUUUCGGAUCGUAAACUUCUAUCAGCAGGGAAGAAGAAAGUGACAGUACCUGACUAAGAAGCCCCGGCUAACUACGUGCCAGCAGCCGCGGUAAUACGUAGGGGGCAAGCGUUAUCCGGAAUCACUGGGUGGAAAGGGUGCGUAGGCGGUAGGGCAAGUCAGAUGUGAAAGCCCGGGGCUCAACCCCGGGAUGGCAUUUGAAACUGUCUUACUAGAGUGGAGGGGAGAAAGAGGAAAUCCCUUGGGUAGGGGUGAAGUGGGGAAAUAUUAGAAAGAACCCCAGUGGCGACGGGGCCUUCCGGGCCUAUAACGUCCGCGGAGGCACGAAAGCGUGGGGAGCGACAAGGAUUAGAUCCCCCGGUAGUC
RNAcentral lists this ribosomal RNA (443 nucleotides) under uncultured bacterium. RNAcentral describes it as "bacterial SSU rRNA". It matches the Rfam family "Bacterial small subunit ribosomal RNA", at positions 338 to 795 of the family's 1533-position model. The record is from RNAcentral.